Molecule: ribosomal RNA, 498 nt
Filed under: uncultured bacterium
Lineage: Bacteria
Description: partial 16S ribosomal RNA
Rfam family: Bacterial small subunit ribosomal RNA
Source: RNAcentral
GAUGAACGCUGGCGGCGUGCCUAAUACAUGCAAGUCGAACGAAAGCACCCGGAGCUUGCUCUGGUCAAGUUAGCGGCGGACGGGUGAGUAACACGUGGGUAACCUGCUCAUCAGACGGGGAUAACAUCCGGAAACGGGUGCUAAAACCGCAUAAGACUUCGAACCGCAUGGCUCAAAAGUGAAAAGCGGCGUUGGCUUCUGCUGUAGGAGGGACCCGCGUUGCAUUAGCUAGUUGGUGAGGUAACGGCUCACCAAGGCAACGAUGCAUAGCCGACCUGAGAGGGUGAUCGGCCACACUGGAACUGAGACACGGUCCAGACUCCUACGGGAGGCAGCAGUAGGGAAUCUUCCGCAAAGGGCGAAAGUCUGACGGAGCAACGCCGCGUGAGUGAAGAAGGUUUUCGGAUCGUAAAACUCUGUUGUUAGGGAAGAACAAGUGCGAGAGUAACUGUUAACGCCUUGACGGUAUCUAACCAGAAAGCCACGGCUAACUACGUG